ACUGCGGAAGGAUCUUA
This 17-nucleotide ribosomal RNA is filed under the name Coniochaeta sp. Js_6538. RNAcentral's name for it is "partial 18S ribosomal RNA". The record is from RNAcentral. Lineage: Eukaryota; Fungi; Ascomycota; Sordariomycetes; Coniochaetales; Coniochaetaceae.